AUAAGGGGUACACGCCUUAUCAUGGUUUGAAAUGGGGAGGUUAAACUGAGUUCAUUUCAUGAUGCGAAAGGGAAAUGUUAUUCAGUCUUUCGGGAAAGCAUUUGCACACUUCUUAGCUAUGUGUUAACGAGCAGAUGACGUAUACCUCAGUAGGAUCCUCCAGAAGUUGUUGCGCUUGCUGGAGCAGAUGACUUAUACCUCAGUAGGAUCCUCCAGAAGUUGUUGCGCUUGCUGGCAUUUUGGGUUCCAGACCCGUCUCUUGCUCGUUUCCCUUUGUUCUUUGUCAAGUUGCAACCCUAUGCUGUUUUCCUUUCGUGCUUCAUGGCAGCAAUUGCAGUGGUGAUGCU
This 347-nucleotide long non-coding RNA is filed under the name Capsicum annuum. RNAcentral describes it as "long non-coding RNA (CANN_LNC018637)". The record is from RNAcentral. Lineage: Eukaryota; Viridiplantae; Streptophyta; Magnoliopsida; Solanales; Solanaceae.